This is a long non-coding RNA of Hemiscyllium ocellatum (epaulette shark), 2612 nucleotides long. RefSeq lists it as uncharacterized. The transcript has 3 exons. The record is from RefSeq and is a predicted model, not a curated record. NCBI's taxonomy places the organism in Eukaryota, Metazoa, Chordata, Chondrichthyes, Orectolobiformes, Hemiscylliidae.
UCGUCAGAGAGGUUGUAAUCAGCUAUAUUGAACUCCUCCAUGUCGGAGUUCGAUGCUUGGAGCACAAACGCUAUGGCCGAGUAUUCAGCCGCUUCCAGGUCUCGAGUCGCCAGAGCUCCUUCCCUUAGAGAUUGCUUCAGUUUGUCGACUAUACAGCCAUCGUUCAGCUCAUUUAAGCAAUAGAACAGGUUCAGGCAUCGUUCCGCAGGAAUGUCCCUGUGUAAAGUUCUCUUGAUGUAGGCUGCAGUCCGUGUGGCGUCCUCGCCGUCGCUCACCCCCUGGCUCGACAGACCCUGCAAAAGUUGGAGGUUCUUUUCUGUUGACAGGCCACAGAGGAAGCGGAAAAACAUAUCCAGGUGCCCAUUUUGACUCCACACUGCUUUCUUGCAUGCACUUUUACAAACAUCAGAAAAGCUGGGACGGGAGACUAGGCCUCGCAACUUCGUCAUCAGCCCCUUUGCCAGUGGGUUUGGGUGCUGGCCCAUGUGGUGCUGAAGGAAAACAUACAGGGCAGCAAAAUACUCCUGCAUUGUCAGGUGUAUGAAGGCAUAAGCCUUGUGCUGAAAGAUAGGCUCGUCUUGGAGGAGGAUCUCUUUGCAAAAGCCAUCACAUAGCAGAGAUAGGUCUACCCUAAAUGACUCCAUGUCCCUUUGAUGGAAGACCAGCUUCUGGACUUUCAGACAAUGGAAAGCCAACCUUCCCAGGUUCAGAAUGACUGGGCGCUUAGCUUGCAGCAAGUCACUGACCUUUUCCCUCUCAGUUACCCCGUGGCUCUGCUUAUCUUGGUGGUACAUUAUCAUCACAAUCAAGAAGUUGCUGUAGACCUCAGUGAUGGUUCUGGGGAUAUGUUGGUGGAUGUCGGUCUCACUGCAAGAUUUCAUGGCAUGUAGCAGGACAGUGGCCAGAAUCCAACAGAAAGCUGGGACAUAGCACAUGGUGAAAAGGCUAGGUUGCCUCAUUAUAUUGGACAAAAUCAUAUCCGCCCUUCCUUUGCAUUUUUUGCGAAAGUAUUCCUCUUUCUCUUCAUCUCGAAACCCUUGAAUUUCCGUCAGUCUGUCAAUGUAAGCAGCUGGGAUUUGGCGGGCAGCUGCAGGGCGGGCCGUUAUCCAAACGGAGGCAUGGGAAAGCAGGGUUCCUUUAAUUAAAUUCACGAGGAGAACAUGGAGUUUCAUCAUGUGCUCGACAUCAGCAUAUUCGGGGCUUUUAUUGAAAUCCAAGCAGAGACGACUUUCAUCCAAGCCAUCAAAGAUGAAGAGACAUUUGAUGUUGGUGUCCUUUAAGAAGGUUGCCGUGUCCCCAGUGUGAGGGUAGUAUCUCUGGACCAGUUGGCUGAUGCUGAGUUUACUUUCUGUCAGCAGAUUGAGUUCCCGGAACGGGAACAUGAACAGGAAGUCAAAGUCCAAGCCCGCCGAGCCAUUACUCCAAUCAUAAACAAACUUAUGCACACAGAUAGUUUUCCCAAUUCCCGCCAAUCCCUUGGUUAAGGUGAUCCUUGGUGGCCGGGAUUGCUGCAGCGAACAGACGAAUAUUUCUGUGUAGUCAAUGGAACGGGCACCAGACCUUUCCUGCUUGGACAUAGCUUCAAUAUCCAUCACCUCAUGUCUUUGGGGAAUCGAGUUGCAGUCGCCUUCAGUUAUCCAAAGUAAAAAGAAAGAAGAUGACCCAGGGAGAUCUUCAGAUGGAAGAAGAAAGGCACAGAAGAUGACAGCGGCUGUGCAGUUUUAAAAUUAAGUGUCUUACUGGAAUUUGGGAGUUCCCUAUCUUUCAUAUUUUAACAGAUUACGGAGUGAGUAAGGAAGAAAGAAACAGAAGUUGGGACAGCUGUUGAUGAGCAGAAGCUAAAAGAAUUGCUGGGCGUGAUCAUCAAUCUGAACAGCAGCAAACACCAAUGACCCAGACGCUUUUCCUUUCUGAUCGACAUUUCUGUAAAAUGAAAAUAUGCGUUCUUACAGCAUAUGUACUCAUAAUUACAUCCUUACAUUAAAUCAUUCCUUCACAAUUAUAGAUGAGAGAUCAGUUAUUUGAAGCAUUAGCUCCCCACAGUUGCUGUCUGACCUGAUUUGCAUUUCUAACUUUUCAGAUUCUAUUUGAUUUCCAGUGUUAAUAAUACUUUACUUUGGAAAAGCGUUCUGUUUUUCUUUCAACUGAUUCCACAUGGAUGUGGAUUUGAUGAGGAGGAAGCAACUAUUUUGUAAUGUACUGUGAGUGACUAUCUCCUCUAUUUUUAUUUCAGUCUGUUUGGCCAUGUUAUGACUACCACUGCAUUGAGUGGGACUUGAACCCAGACCUUCUAUCCCAGAGUCAGGGACAUGGCAUCAGAAGACACAUGACCUAUGUCUUUUCAAUGACAGACAUUAUAUGGCAUUUUGCUUAGGUCCCAGUUCAUCCAAAGAAGUGGAGUAUUUGAUGCUUUACUGAGUAUAGGGUUACCCAGGAAACAAAACCAGGAUCAACAGAAGGUUUCACUCCACAUAACUCCAAUGCUGGAUUCCAGCUUAGAAGGAAAAUUAAAUGUGGGAUCGGAGGGCAACUGCAGACUUGAUGGGCUGAAUAGCCUGUAUCUGCACUGUAAGGAUUCUAUAAAUGAUAAAUCCAAUACCAAAUAAUUUCUU